UAACCAGAAAGCCACGGCUAACUACGUGCCAGCAGCCGCGGUAAUACGUAGGUGGCAAGCGUUGUCCGGAAUUAUUGGGCGUAAAGCGCGCGCAGGCGGUUUCUUAAGUCUGAUGUGAAAGCCCCCGGCUCAACCGGGGAGGGUCAUUGGAAACUGGGGAACUUGAGUGCAGAAGAGGAGAGUGGAAUUCCACGUGUAGCGGUGAAAUGCGUAGAGAUGUGGAGGAACACCAGUGGCGAAGGCGACUCUCUGGUCUGUAACUGACGCUGAGGCGCGAAAGCGUGGGGAGCGAACAGGAUUAGAUACCCUGGUAGUCCACGCCGUAAACGAUGAGUGCUAAGUGUUAGAGGGUUUCCGCCCUUUAGUGCUGCAGCAAACGCAUUAAGCACUCCGCCUGGGGAGUACGGUCGCAAGACUGAAACUCAAAGGAAUUGACGGGGGCCCGCACAAGCGGUGGAGCAUGUGGUUUAAUUCGAAGCAACGCGAAGAACCUUACCAGGUCUUGACAUCCUCUGACAACCCUAGAGAUAGGGCUUCCCCUUCGGGGGCAGAGUGACAGGUGGUGCAUGGUUGUCGUCAGCUCGUGUCGUGAGAUGUUGGGUUAAGUCCCGCAACGAGCGCAACCCUUGAUCUUAGUUGCCAGCAUUCAGUUGGGCACUCUAAGGUGACUGCCGGUGACAAACCGGAGGAAGGUGGGGAUGACGUCAAAUCAUCAUGCCCCUUAUGACCUGGGCUACACACGUGCUACAAUGGGCAGAACAAAGGGCAGCGAAGCCGCGAGGCUA
This 785-nucleotide ribosomal RNA is filed under the name uncultured Bacillus sp. RNAcentral's name for it is "bacterial SSU rRNA". It matches the Rfam family "Bacterial small subunit ribosomal RNA", at positions 480 to 1265 of the family's 1533-position model. The record is from RNAcentral. Lineage: Bacteria; Bacillati; Bacillota; Bacilli; Caryophanales; Bacillaceae.